UACGUAGGUGGCAAGCGUUGUCCGGAAUUAUUGGGCGUAAAGCGCGCGCAGGCGGUCCCUUAAGUCUGAUGUGAAAGCCCACGGCUCAACCGUGGAGGGUCAUUGGAAACUGGGGGACUUGAGUGCAGAGGAGGAAAGUGGAAUUCCAUGUGUAGCGGUGAAAUGCGUAGAGAUGUGGAGGAACACCAGUGGCGAAGGCGACUUUCUGGUCUGUAACUGACGCUGAGGCGCGAAAGCGUGGGGAGCAAACAGG
This 253-nucleotide ribosomal RNA is filed under the name uncultured bacterium. Its description in RNAcentral is "partial 16S ribosomal RNA". It matches the Rfam family "Bacterial small subunit ribosomal RNA", at positions 524 to 776 of the family's 1533-position model. The record is from RNAcentral.